This 492-nucleotide ribosomal RNA is filed under the name uncultured eukaryote. Its description in RNAcentral is "partial 18S ribosomal RNA". It matches the Rfam family "Eukaryotic small subunit ribosomal RNA", at positions 185 to 695 of the family's 1831-position model. The record is from RNAcentral.
GUUCACGGGAAGUGAAGGUAUAUAUUAGAUACAAAACCAAAGAGAGAGGGAGUGAUAAUAUUUGGAACAGAUCACGAGGGAGUGACGAGCCGAUCAAAUUUCUGCCCUAUCAACUUUGGACGGUAGUAUAGAGGACAACCGUGGUGAUAACGGGUAACGGAGAAUGAGGGUUUGAUUCCGGAGAAGGGGCAUGAGAAAUGGCCACUACAACCAAGGUAGGCAGCAGGCGCGUAAAUUACCCAAUCCUGACAGAGGGAGGUAGUGACAAUAAAUAACAAUGAAUUUAUGGAAAGUAAGUUGAAUUGGAAUGAGAACAAUAUAAAACCCUUAUCGAGGAACAAUUUCAGGGCAAGUUCUGGUGCCAGCAGCCGCGGUAAUUCCCAGCUGAAAAAGCGUAUACGAAUAUUGUUGCAGUUAAAAACGCUCGUAGUUGGAAAGAAUAAGUUUAUUUUUCUUUUUUGUCUUAAAAAAAAAAAUAAUUAUUUAAUAGAA